AGAGUUUGAUCAUGGCUCAGGAUGAACGCUAGCUACAGGCUUAACACAUGCAAGUCGAGGGGCAGCAUUGGGAUAGCUUGCUAUUCCAGAUGGCGACCGGCGCACGGGUGAGUAACGCGUAUCCAACCUUCCCUAUAGUAGAGAAUAGC
This 149-nucleotide ribosomal RNA is filed under the name uncultured rumen bacterium. RNAcentral's name for it is "partial 16S rRNA". It matches the Rfam family "Bacterial small subunit ribosomal RNA", at positions 8 to 147 of the family's 1533-position model. The record is from RNAcentral.